AGCCAUUGUGUGUUUUGGAUAGAGCCGAUAUGAUAAAAAGUUUGUGGAUAAUGUUCGUUGAUAUAUUGCAAUGUGUUAAUGCUGAUCGACUUUGUCAUACUAACUCAUACUCAUACUAAGAGAUGUAAGCAACAAUAACAAGUUUCCUGAAGAAUGUUCCAGUCGGACAGUUAGAAACAAUUAUGUCUGUAUAAGUUGUGGAAUAUCUUUGGGAAGGCACUCACGAAGAUAAAAUCACAGGCCAUGGGCUUAUGGAAAAAAGUGAAGAGUGGAAUUAUAUAGAAAAACAAUCUCCGAGAUAGAUGAGUGAUGGAUGCCCAUGUAUGCGUUGUUUGCAGGAUGAGCUCACCUCAAAAGCAUUAAUAUCUAGUGAACAUAAAAGCUGUGUUAGGUUGUGAAGUGGAUGACCAACCUCAUCAACCAGGGUUAUUGCUGAGCCGCCAAUGUCGUUGGAUCAGCCAGUAAUGUCCUAACUGAAUCAGGGAUCACAAAGAAAUUUUUGUGUUUUGUCCCCACCGGGACUUGAACCUGGGACCUCCGGAAUGUUAGCCACUGGACCACAUAGGCCGAGAGUAUAUGGUUAAGUUGCUGUUUUAUUUCAACUAUUUAAUUAAAUGAAGGAAUAUUUUG
Long non-coding RNA from Pectinophora gossypiella (pink bollworm), 630 nucleotides. RefSeq lists it as uncharacterized. The transcript is spliced from 4 exons. Lineage: Eukaryota; Metazoa; Arthropoda; Insecta; Lepidoptera; Gelechiidae. The record is from RefSeq and is a predicted model, not a curated record.